This 253-nucleotide ribosomal RNA is filed under the name uncultured bacterium. Its description in RNAcentral is "partial 16S ribosomal RNA". It matches the Rfam family "Bacterial small subunit ribosomal RNA", at positions 524 to 776 of the family's 1533-position model. The record is from RNAcentral.
UACGUAGGGGGCAAGCGUUGUCCGGAAUCAUUGGGCGUAAAGCGCGCGUAGGCGGCCCUGUAAGUCCGUUGUGAAAGUCAAAGGCUCAACCUUUGAAAGCCGAUGGAUACUGCAGGGCUAGAGUCCGGAAGAGGCGAGUGGAAUUCCUGGUGUAGCGGUGAAAUGCGCAGAUAUCAGGAGGAACACCGGUGGCGAAGGCGGGUCUCUGGGCCGAUACUGACGCUGAGGAGCGAAAGCGUGGGGAGCGGACAGG